Molecule: ribosomal RNA, 581 nt
Filed under: uncultured bacterium
Lineage: Bacteria
Description: bacterial SSU rRNA
Rfam family: Bacterial small subunit ribosomal RNA
Source: RNAcentral
ACGGGUGAGUAAUGCAUCGGGAUCUACCCUGACGUGGGGGAUAACCUCGGGAAACCGGGACUAAUACCGCAUACGUCCUACGGGAGAAAGCGGGGGACCUUCGGGCCUCGCGCGGCAGGACGAACCGAUGUGCGAUUAGCUAGUUGGCGGGGUAAUGGCCCACCAAGGCGACGAUCGCUAGCUGGUCUGAGAGGAUGAUCAGCCACACUGGGACUGAGACGCGGCCCAGACUCCUACGGGAGGCAGCAGUGGGGAAUAUUGGACAAUGGGCGCAAGCCUGAUCCAGCAAUGCCGCGUGUGUGAAGAAGGCCUUCGGGUUGUAAAGCACUUUUAUCAGGAGCGAAAUACUACGGGUUAAUAACCCGUGGGGCUGACGGUACCUGAGGAAUAUGCACCGGCUAACUUCGUGCCAGCAGCCGCGGUAAUACGAAGGGUGCAAGCGUUAAUCGGAAUUACUGGGCGUAAAGGGUGCGUAGGCGGUUCGUUAAGUCUGUUGUGAAAUCCCCGGGCUCAACCUGGGAAUGGCAAUGGAUACUGGCGAGCUAGAGUGUGUCAGAGGAUGGUGGAAUUCCCGGUGUAGC